UACGUAGGGGGCCAGCGUUGUCCGGAAUCAUUGGGCGUAAAGAGCGUGUAGGCGGCCAGAUAAGUCCGCUGUGAAAUCUCGAGGCUCAACUUCGAGCUGUCGGCGGAAACCAUCUGGCUAGAGUCCGGAAGAGGAGAGUGGAAUUCCUGGUGUAGCGGUGAAAUGCUUAGAUAUGACAUAGAACACCAAUUGCGAAGGCAGCUCACUACACGAAUAUUGACACUGAGGCACGAAAGCGUGGGGAUCAAACAGG
Molecule: ribosomal RNA, 253 nt
Filed under: uncultured bacterium
Lineage: Bacteria
Description: partial 16S ribosomal RNA
Rfam family: Bacterial small subunit ribosomal RNA
Source: RNAcentral